GGAAUCUUCCGCAAUGGGCGAAAGCCUGACGGAGCAACACCGCGUGGAGGAUGAAGGCGUUUUCGUCGUAAACUCCUUUUCUGAGGGAAGAAUUCUGACGGUACCUCAGGCAUAAGCAACGGCUAACUACGUGCCAGCAGCCGCGGUAAGACGUAGGUUGCAAGCGUUAUCCGGAAUUAUUGGGCGUAAAGAGUUCGUAGGCGGUCUGUUAAGUUGGAUGUCAAAUACCAAAGCUCAACUUUGGGAAGGUAUCCAAAACUGGCAGGCUGGAGACAGGGAGAGGUAGAUGGAAUUCUGCAUGGAGGGGUAAUAUCCGUAGAUAUGCAGAGGAACACCAAAAGCGAAGGCAGUCUACUGGCCCUGUUCUGACGCUGAGGAACGAAAGCGUGGGGAGCGAAC
RNAcentral lists this ribosomal RNA (399 nucleotides) under uncultured bacterium. RNAcentral describes it as "bacterial SSU rRNA". It matches the Rfam family "Bacterial small subunit ribosomal RNA", at positions 358 to 773 of the family's 1533-position model. The record is from RNAcentral.